GGUUGGUCCGAUGGUGGUGAGAUUUCAAUUGAUUGCUACAGUGAGUUACAGAACCUCUACGUUUCUUCUCUCCCCUCCCUCACCACCGGCCUUGACUAGCCUUUU
Acanthochromis polyacanthus (spiny chromis) is the source of this 105-nucleotide unclassified non-coding RNA. It matches the Rfam family "Y RNA". Rfam says of the family: Y RNAs are components of the Ro ribonucleoprotein particle (Ro RNP), in association with Ro60 and La proteins. The Y RNAs and Ro60 and La proteins are well conserved, but the function of the Ro RNP is not known. NCBI's taxonomy places the organism in Eukaryota, Metazoa, Chordata, Actinopteri, Pomacentridae. The record is from Ensembl.